GCAAUGCCGCGUGUGUGAAGAAGGCCUGCGGGUUGUAAAGCACUUUCAGUUGGGAAGAUGAUGACGUUACCAACAGAAGAAGCACCGGCUAAAUCCGUGCCAGCAGCCGCGGUAAUACGGAUGGUGCGAGCGUUAAUCGGAAUUACUGGGCGUAAAGCGCGCGUAGGCGGCUAAGUCAGUCAGAAGUGAAAGCCCCGGGCUCAACCUGGGAAUUGCUUUUGAUACUGCUUAGCUAGAGUUUGGUAGAGGAUAGUGGAAUUCCAGGUGUAGCGGUGAAAUGCGUAGAUAUCUGGAGGAACAUCAGUGGCGAAGGCGACUGUCUGGACCAAAACUGACGCUGAGGUGCGAAAGCGUGGGUAGCAAACAGGAUUAGAUACCCUGGUAGUCCACGCCGUAAACGAUGUCAACUAGCCGUCGGGUCUAUUUACAGACUUGGUGGCGCAGCUAACGCGAUAAGUUGACCGCCUGGGGAGUACGGCCGCAAGGUUAAAACUCAAAGGAAUUGACGGGG
RNAcentral lists this ribosomal RNA (511 nucleotides) under uncultured bacterium. RNAcentral describes it as "bacterial SSU rRNA". It matches the Rfam family "Bacterial small subunit ribosomal RNA", at positions 391 to 918 of the family's 1533-position model. The record is from RNAcentral.